UGGGGAAUAUUGCACAAUGGGGGAAACCCUGAUGCAGCGACGCCGCGUGAGUGAAGAAGGCCUUCGGGUCGUAAAGCUCUGUCCUAAGGGAAGAAAGAUGACGGUACCUUAGGAGGAAGCCCCGGCUAACUACGUGCCAGCAGCCGCGGUAAUACGUAGGGGGCGAGCGUUAUCCGGAAUCACUGGGCGUAAAGGGUGCGUAGGCGGCCGAUCAAGCCAGGGGUGAAAGGCUACGGCUUAACCGUAGUGAGCCUUUGGAACUGAUUGGCUUGAGUGCAGGAGAGGAGAGUGGAAUUCCUAGUGUAGCGGUGAAAUGCGUAGAUAUUAGGAGGAACACCAGUGGCGAAGGCGACUCUCUGGACUGUAACUGACGCUGAGGCACGAAAGCGUGGGGAGCAAACAGG
Molecule: ribosomal RNA, 404 nt
Filed under: uncultured bacterium
Lineage: Bacteria
Description: bacterial SSU rRNA
Rfam family: Bacterial small subunit ribosomal RNA
Source: RNAcentral